This 478-nucleotide ribosomal RNA is filed under the name uncultured anaerobic ammonium-oxidizing bacterium. Its description in RNAcentral is "bacterial SSU rRNA". It matches the Rfam family "Bacterial small subunit ribosomal RNA", at positions 364 to 833 of the family's 1533-position model. The record is from RNAcentral.
UUUCGCAAUGCCCGAAAGGGUGACGAAGCGACGCCGCGUGAGUGAGGAAGGCCUUCGGGUUGUAAAGCUCUGUCAGGAGUUAAGAAAUAUAAGUGUGCUAAUACCACAUUUAUUUGACGAAGGCUCCAAAGGAAGCCACGGCUAACUCUGUGCCAGCAGCCGCGGUAAUACAGAGGUGGCAAGCGUUGUUCGGAAUUAUUGGGCGUAAAGAGCACGUAGGUGGGUUUGUAAGUCAGGUGUGAAAGCCUUCUGUUCAAAGGAAGAACGGCAUCUGAAACUGCAGAUCUUGAGUGUAGGAGGGGAGAGUGGAACUUCUGGUGGAGCGGUGAAAUGCGUAGAUAUCAGAAGGAACGUCGGUGGCGAAAGCGGCUCUCUAUCCUAUUACUGACGCUGAGGCGCGAAAGCUAGGGGAGCAAACGGGAUUAGAUACCCCGGUAGUCCUAGCCGUAAACGUUGGGCACUAAGUAGAGGGGUUUUA